UGUUGGUGAAUCCACCCAUUUCCUCACAGGUUGCAACAUCUUCUCCACGUGAGAAUAAGGCCACGCCGUCAAUCGAAUUCCUGCUCGGAGACGCUUCAGCUUUGGCGCGGCGGUGGGGUGGACUCGGCUACCGGCUUCCGAUCCCACGGCGGCUGGCAGCCCCUCGGGUUGUUCUCGACAAACCCUUUUCCUUUAAUUAAAGUUCUUUAAAGUUACGUUCAGCAACUAUUGUUGAAGACAUAAUGUGAAACUAUGUUGAGGCUUGAUUGAACUUGGAUGAUUAUAAUAUUUUUUCCAACAUUAAUGAUUAAUUUAUUUUUCUU
This 323-nucleotide long non-coding RNA is filed under the name Physcomitrium patens. RNAcentral's name for it is "long non-coding RNA (PPAT_LNC014883)". Lineage: Eukaryota; Viridiplantae; Streptophyta; Bryopsida; Funariales; Funariaceae. The record is from RNAcentral.